Molecule: ribosomal RNA, 301 nt
Filed under: uncultured bacterium
Lineage: Bacteria
Description: partial 16S ribosomal RNA
Rfam family: Bacterial small subunit ribosomal RNA
Source: RNAcentral
CAGUAGCCGCGGGAAUACGUAGGUGGCAAGCGUCGUCCGGAAUUAUUGGGCGUAAAGGGCUCGCAGGCGGUUUCUUAAGUCUGAUGUGAAAGCCCCCGGCUCAACCGGGGAGGGUCAUUGGAAACUGGGAAACUUGAGUGCAGAAGAGGAGAGUGGAAUUCCACGUGUAGCGGUGAAAUGCGUAGAGAUGUGGAGGAGCACCAGUGGCGAAGGCGACUCUCUGGUCUGUAACUGACGCUGAGGAGCGAAAGCGUGGGGAGCGAACAGGAUUAGAUACCCCGGUAGUCCCUGUCUCUUAUAC